RNAcentral lists this transfer RNA (76 nucleotides) under Rhizobium sp. RNAcentral describes it as "tRNA-Thr". It matches the Rfam family "tRNA". Rfam says of the family: Transfer RNA (tRNA) molecules are approximately 80 nucleotides in length. Their secondary structure includes four short double-helical elements and three loops (D, anti-codon, and T loops). Further hydrogen bonds mediate the characteristic L-shaped molecular structure. tRNAs have two regions of fundamental functional importance: the anti-codon, which is responsible for specific mRNA codon recognition, and the 3' end, to which the tRNAs corresponding amino acid is attached (by aminoacyl-tRNA synthetases). tRNAs cope with the degeneracy of the genetic code in two manners: having more than one tRNA (with a specific anti-codon) for a particular amino acid; and 'wobble' base-pairing, i.e. permitting non-standard base-pairing at the 3rd anti-codon position. The record is from RNAcentral. RNAcentral also lists the same sequence under 303 other names. Lineage: Bacteria; Pseudomonadati; Pseudomonadota; Alphaproteobacteria; Hyphomicrobiales; Rhizobiaceae.
GCCGCUUUAGCUCAGUUGGUAGAGCACAUCAUUCGUAAUGAUGGGGUCACGUGUUCGAGUCACGUAAGCGGCACCA